RNAcentral lists this ribosomal RNA (320 nucleotides) under uncultured eukaryote. Its description in RNAcentral is "partial 18S ribosomal RNA". It matches the Rfam family "Eukaryotic small subunit ribosomal RNA", at positions 1470 to 1796 of the family's 1831-position model. The record is from RNAcentral.
CCCUUAGAUGUUCUGGGCUGCACGCGCGCUACACUGACAUACUCAGCAAGUUUCCUUGCCUGAAAGGGUUGGGUAAUCUUGUUAGUGUAUGUCGUGAUGGGGAUAGAAUAUUGUAAUUAUUGCUCUUUAACGAGGAAUUCCUAGUAAGCGCAAGUCAUCAGCUUGCGUUGAUUACGUCCCUGCCCUUUGUACACACCGCCCGUCGCUCCUACCGAUUGGGUGAUCCGGUGAAUGAUUCGGACUCUGGCUAUGCUAGCUACUAGCUACGUCAGGGAAAGUUUUGUGAACCUUAUCAUUUAGAGGAAGGAGAAGUCGUAACA